This is a long non-coding RNA of Tachysurus fulvidraco (yellow catfish), 370 nucleotides long. RefSeq lists it as uncharacterized. The record is from RefSeq and is a predicted model, not a curated record. NCBI's taxonomy places the organism in Eukaryota, Metazoa, Chordata, Actinopteri, Siluriformes, Bagridae. The transcript is spliced from 3 exons.
GUUUUUACAUUUAUUCUCAUAUUUCUGUAAUUGUGUUUUAUACCUUUUUCACAUGUAGGACACGUGGUUUCAUUUUUCCACUUGAAUUAUCAUAAUUUUUUUAUUUGUUUGUUUUAUUAUUCCCUAUUUCACAGCUGCGGAAGACGGUGGGUUCACUUCAUGUAUGAUGACAAUAUCAGCUAUCAACAUUUUUUGGAGUCUGUUUUAAACAUCUACAGCAGGAUCAUGUAACAGGUCUUGGCUAAAGCCGCGCGCUCUGCGCUCGCCAGGUAUUUCUGCCGGUGGAAGCGCUUCUCCAGCUCGCAGAUCUGCGCGCGCGAGAACGACGUGCGCGGCUUCUUCCGCUUGGGCGGCGUCCGGUUCUGGUACG